GAGUUCAGAGGUGUGCUCUUCGGAUAAAACAAUAAGUGGUAUUCUAAUUAAUGACAUCACUGAUCAUCUACCAGUCUUUAUCAUCUAUGAUUACAACCACACCAAUAGAAAGAAAAAUAAUCAAAAAGAAUAUCGGA
This is a long non-coding RNA of Thalassophryne amazonica, 137 nucleotides long. RefSeq lists it as uncharacterized. The transcript has 4 exons. The record is from RefSeq and is a predicted model, not a curated record. NCBI's taxonomy places the organism in Eukaryota, Metazoa, Chordata, Actinopteri, Batrachoidiformes, Batrachoididae.